AUGACCGCGGACGCAUCACCGGACCAGCGACUCCCGCUGAAGGGAGCACAAACAGCGAGGACAACUGGCGAACGGAUGUCCUGUCGAGAGGUGGUGCAGCUGGUUGGUCUUGCGUUACUAUUUUGUUUCCUUAUUUUGCUUGGGGGCUUUCUCUUCGCCGCAACCCUGCCGACCGAGCCCGAGUACUCGGUCGCCAUCACCGGCGCUGAAGGGCUGGACCCAGCGCGGGACCUCAGGAGCUUCGACCGGCGGCCGACGCUCUCGCCCGUGUUCAACCUCACCGUCCACAUCGAGUUGCUCGACGACAGCUACUAUCGAGCGUGCAUCGGCGGCCACCAGGCGAAGCUCGCCGUGUCCUACGGCGGCGCGCUGCUGGCAGAAGUAGAAGGGCCCUUGCUGCCGGAGCUCUGCGUCGGACCUCAUGAAGGGCGCGGAGCCAACAUCACGGCGCGGGGCGUCGAGGUCGCGGUGCCCCGGUUCGAGCGCGACCGCCUCGCGGCAGAGCUGGAGCGGGGCCAGGCGGCAUUUGACGUUGUGGUGAUGGCACCGCGGUAUGACCGUCAGGUGCUUGCCUGCAAGGCCAUGAUCGGAGCGGGUCUACGCGCCUGCGAUUUUCAGUACUACUACUAG
This 630-nucleotide ribosomal RNA is filed under the name Triticum aestivum (bread wheat). Its description in RNAcentral is "partial small subunit ribosomal RNA". Lineage: Eukaryota; Viridiplantae; Streptophyta; Magnoliopsida; Poales; Poaceae. The record is from RNAcentral.